RNAcentral lists this long non-coding RNA (313 nucleotides) under Mytilus galloprovincialis (Mediterranean mussel). Lineage: Eukaryota; Metazoa; Mollusca; Bivalvia; Mytilida; Mytilidae. The record is from RNAcentral.
AGUCCAUGAGUCCUGGACUCAUCAAAAUCUGUCUGGCUUCACCAUUUUCAAAACUGGUGAGUCCACAGAUGCAUCAAGAUUGAAAUAUUUUGUAUAAACUGAACACAGUUAAACACAAAUAUCAUCAUUUUAUAGCAAAAGUUUAAAAGUGAUCUGAAUUUAAUGUCAUUUCAUUGCUGUGUUAGCAUGAAUAGGAAAUGGAGACUAAAAUAUUACAUUAUAUUGCAAUAAAAUAUUUUCUUCUUUCUGUUGGACUCAUCAUGGCUAAAAAUGACGAGUCCCUGGACUUGCUUCAAAAAUCCUUAGCGAGAAC